CAAGUCGAACGCUCUAGCAAUAGGGAGUGGCGCACGGGUGAGUAACAUGUGGGAAUAUGCCUUUUGGUACGGAACAACUUUUGGAAACGAAAGCUAAUACCGUAUGGUCCCUUCGGGGUAAAGAUUUAUCGCCAAAAGAGUAGCCCGCACUGGAUUAGCUAGUUGGUAAGGUAAUGGCUUACCAAGGCGACGAUCCAUAGCUGGUCUGAGAGGACGAUCAGCCACACUGGGACUGAGACACGGCCCAGACUCCUACGGGAGGCAGCAGUUAGGAAUCUUGGACAAUGGGCGCAAGCCUGAUCCAGCCAUGCCGCGUGAGUGAUGAAGGCCUUCGGGUUGUAAAGCUCUUUAGUCCACGAAUAUAAUGACUGUAGUGGAAGAAUAAGCCCCGGCUAACUUCGUGCCAGCAGCCGCGGUAAUACGAAGGGGGCGAGCGUUGUUCGGAAUCACUGGGCGUAAAGAGUGCGUAGGCGGCGAUAAAAGUUAGGAGUGAAAGCCCAGGGCUUAACCUUGGAAUUGCUUUUAAUACUAUAUUGCUCGAAUUUGGGAGAGGAUAGCGGAAUUGUCAGUGUAGCAGUGAAAUGCGUAGAUAUUGACAGGAACACCAGUGGCGUAAGCGGCUAUCUGGACCAACAUUGACGCUGAGGCACGAAAGCGUGGGGAUCAAACAGGAUUAGAUACCCUGGUAGUCCACGCCGUAAACGAUGUGUGUUUGUCGCUGGGGAGUUUACUCUUCGGUGACGGAGCUAACGCGUUAAGCACACCGCCUGGGAAGUACGGUCGCAAGAUUAAAACUCAAAGGAAUUGACGGGGACCCGCACAAGCGGUGGAGUAUGUGGUUUAAUUCGUCGCACCGCGAAAACCUUACCAGGCCUUGACAUGCCCUCU
This 888-nucleotide ribosomal RNA is filed under the name uncultured Alphaproteobacteria bacterium. RNAcentral's name for it is "bacterial SSU rRNA". It matches the Rfam family "Bacterial small subunit ribosomal RNA", at positions 58 to 994 of the family's 1533-position model. The record is from RNAcentral. Lineage: Bacteria; Pseudomonadati; Pseudomonadota; Alphaproteobacteria.